AAAUCAUGUAGCUGGCAAGGUAAUGUUUCAUGUAGUUUGAUAUAUAUUCAUAAAAAUUACUCAACACGAUUAAAUUACUAAAUAUUUAACUAAAAUGUAAAAGAAGAUAAAUAUAAAUUUAAAUAAAUACAUUUAAAAUCUGAAUUAUUUGCUCCCUUUGAAUCCAAAUGAAAAUGUUUAAAUGUCUGAACACUUGACGAUGAAUAAUGAAUCAAAAGGACUGUCAUCUGAAGUGGAGCACAUGCAGUACGUCACACUGGUGGUUUGCUGCAGAUUAGGACAAAUGUUCUGAUCUUCUGGGUUUUGUAGUGUGUGCUGUAUCCAUACUCCAGUACCUGUGUGCUGAUCUCAACAUCUCUGCAGAGCCUGAGGGGCUUUGUUUGGGUCUUUAGUGCUUUUCUCAUUUAAUUUGUGUCUGAAUAAUUUAUAUUAGUGAUACAUUUUUUGGUAGGUUUCAUUCUGCCAGCUGCGUCCUGUUUAAACAUCUCACUGCUGUCUCUUCAGCACCGCUACGGCAUUAGGAUGGAGAAGUGUGUGUGUGUGUGUGUGUGUGUGUGUGUGUUUUCUGUCCUCACUAGCUGCAUCAGACUCUCACUGGAAACCACUGGAUGGAACAAGAAAAAUGACUAAAACCAUGGGGGGAGAACCUGUAUAUUACUUCUGUUUAUAUAAAAAUGGAUGACCUUUGACCCACUGCCCUCUGCAUUCGUCCGCACCGCAGCAGGCACGAUGUGUGACCUUUGACCUCUGAGGUGUGUGAGGUCAGGAUGCAGAUGAUGAGCGUCGUGUUUCUCGUCUGGUCAGAAACAGUACCUCAGUAACAGCAGGGUGAGCGCUGCGAUCUGAUUAGUUGCCCUUUUGCUGGAAGCUUUUCUCAAACACACACUCUGAGUUUUGGAGCUUCUUGACUUUUCAGAUGGAGAGGCUUUUUAUCCUCACACCAAAGCGUGCAGCCGUGAUGUGACAGUCUCCGCCCCCGCCGCUUCCCUCCAGAGGUCAGAGGUCACCUGACUUUCACAUCCACCCACACCUGACCUCAUUUUCUCCAUCUGUCCGCGGCGACCGUCAUCUGAAAAUACUACAGUCUUCUGGUGCGGCCGAGCGCGAUGAUAAAAAGAAAUGUUCUACUCAUCAGCGCAUGCACAAGAAUCCAGAUGCUGUUCAUUACCACCGAAAUACACUUAAAGGAAUAGUUCACCAAAAAAUUCUUAUCGACUUCUAUAGUAGGAAAAAAAAUACCAUGGAAGUCAAUGGUGAGCCAAAACAAAAAAAUACAUAGAGGUUUAUAACUACUUGAAGUA
Puntigrus tetrazona (Sumatra barb) is the source of this 1301-nucleotide long non-coding RNA. RefSeq lists it as uncharacterized. The transcript has 4 exons. The record is from RefSeq and is a predicted model, not a curated record. NCBI's taxonomy places the organism in Eukaryota, Metazoa, Chordata, Actinopteri, Cypriniformes, Cyprinidae.